UGGGGAAUUUUGGACAAUGGGCGAAAGCCUGAUCCAGCAAUGCCGCGUGUGUGAAGAAGGCCUUCGGGUUGUAAAGCACUUUUGUCCGGAAAGAAAUCCUUGGCUCUAAUACAGUCGGGGGAUGACGGUACCGGAAGAAUAAGCACCGGCUAACUACGUGCCAGCAGCCGCGGUAAUACGUAGGGUGCAAGCGUUAAUCGGAAUUACUGGGCGUAAAGCGUGCGCAGGCGGUUUGCUAAGACCGAUGUGAAAUCCCCGGGCUCAACCUGGGAACUGCAUUGGUGACUGGCAGGCUAGAGUAUGGCAGAGGGGGGUAGAAUUCCACGUGUAGCAGUGAAAUGCGUAGAGAUGUGGAGGAAUACCGAUGGCGAAGGCAGCCCCCUGGGCCAAUACUGACGCUCAUGCACGAAAAGCGUGGGGAGCAAACAGGAUUAGAUACCCUGGUAGUCCACGCCCUAAAACGAUGUCAACUAGUUGUUGGGGGAUUCAUUUCCUAGUAACGUAGCUAACGCGUGAAGUUGACCGCCUGGGGAGUACGGUCGCAAGAUUAAAACUUAAAUGAAUUGACGGGGUCAUAGCUG
This 581-nucleotide ribosomal RNA is filed under the name uncultured bacterium. RNAcentral's name for it is "partial 16S ribosomal RNA". It matches the Rfam family "Bacterial small subunit ribosomal RNA", at positions 355 to 932 of the family's 1533-position model. The record is from RNAcentral.